Molecule: RNA transcript, 7514 nt
Organism: Triplophysa dalaica
Lineage: Eukaryota; Metazoa; Chordata; Actinopteri; Cypriniformes; Nemacheilidae
Gene: adamts12
Gene name: ADAM metallopeptidase with thrombospondin type 1 motif, 12
Exons: 24
Source: RefSeq, a predicted model, not a curated record
AUCCCUUAUUUUAGCUUGUUGGAUGAACAUGACCUAUUAAACACUUUAUAUUCGUGGAAACGUAAAAGUGUGUCAUCUGAACUCAUGUACAUUUGUGCUUGUUUUUGGGUUCCUCUCCUCCCCACGUGCGCGUGGAAAGAGGAGGACAGUCAAAGGGAAUCUCUCCUCCCACUCCACAUCAUAUUCCUUCAUUCUCCACGUCUCUGUCUCUCUGUCUGAGAUCAGAUGUCUCCUGCGUUCAGCAGAAACUCCCCCCGGGACCCUCGUUAUCAGCUUCACGCGCUUUAAACGCUUUAACUUCGCACUGCAGAAAUAUGACGAACCGCGUCAGCGUCGCGCUUUUGCGUUUAAACUGCGUUUUCCUUCUUGCUGUGAGCCACGUCGAGAGCUCUGAAGCGGACUACCUCUUUCCAGACACAGAGCAAGAGCUCUUCAUCAAGCAGCAUUCAGAGAUUUACAUUGAUCACCCUGAGAAAGUGCACGAGGAUGGAACAUUUCUCUCACACACUUUAUCACAUCACUUCACCGACAGUCGACACAAGAGACACCUGAGUCCUGCAGAGACACGGGUGUAUUACAAACUCAAAUACAAAGAUCGGGAUUUAACUCUCAAUCUAACCACCAACAACAAUCUGCUGUCCCUGGAUUAUGUGUUGGAGAGACGGAACAGCAGUUUCAUGGAGAAACGGACACAGACUUCUGGGAAAGACACCUGUCACCUGAUCGGUACAGUAACCCAUGACAACAAGAGCGGGACGGCCGCCGUCAGCACCUGUGAGGGGCUGAGAGGGCUGUUAAAUCUAUCCGAUGGGCCGUUGUUGAUCGAGCCCAUCCGUGGCCAUGUUCCAAACAUCACUCAUCCACAACAGCCGCACGUGAUCUACCGGAGCUCAGCCUGGGGCGGACUCAGACGACGGCGCAGCACAGAUGAACACGAUGUUCCGCACAGUCCCUGUGGGGUCAAAGAUGGUGCAGGGUAUUCCCAACAGUUGGAUCAGGAGAGAGAGCGCUGGGAGCAGCGCCAGCAGCGUGGGGAUGGAAACCGUGAUCCAGAUCAAGAAUGGGAACGGCCACGGCGGAUCUCUCGCCGCUCCAUCAGCAAAGAGCGCUGGGUGGAGACCAUGGUGGUGGGCGACUCCAAACUCAUGGACUACCACGGGAGUGGGAACGUUGAGUCUUACAUCUUCACAAUCAUGAACAUGGUAGCUGGAAUUUUUCAUGAUGCUAGCAUUGGCAAUGCCAUCCAUAUUGUGUUAGUUCGACUCAUUUUGCUACAUGGAGAUGAGGGACUGAAGAUCGUCCAUCAUGCCGAUACGACUCUCAACAGCUUCUGUACCUGGCAAAAAAAUAUCAACGCUCAAAGCGACACACAUCCUGCACACCAUGAUGUUGCUGUACUCAUCACACGGAAGGAUAUCUGCGCAGGCAUGAAUCAACCGUGCGAGACACUGGGACUGUCUCACCUGUCUGGCAUGUGUCAGCCGCACCGCUCCUGCAACAUCAAUGAGGAUUCAGGGCUACCUGUUGCUUUCACCAUCGCCCACGAGCUCGGACACAGUUUUGGAAUCCCUCAUGAUGGACAAGGCAAUGAUUGUGAGCUGGUGGGGAAACAACCCUUCAUCAUGUCACGCCAGCUCCACUACGACUCCUCUCCUCUCACCUGGUCCUCCUGCAGCAAGGACUACAUAACACGCUUUCUGGAUCGUGGUUGGGGUUUUUGUCUGGAUGAUCGCCUUUCUAAGAGAGACCUGACCACACCAGUGUCGGCACCUGGAGUGAGAUACUCACCCAAGCACCAGUGUCAGCUGCAGUACGGGCCCGACGCGACCUUCUGCUCUGCAGUGGAUAACGUGUGUCAAACUCUCUGGUGCUCGGUGAAUGGUUCGUGUCGCUCCAAACUGGACUCACCCAUAGACGGAACCAGAUGUGGAGCUGAGAAGUGGUGUAUCUCUGGUGAGUGUGUCAUCGUGGGGAAGUUACCAGAAACAGUGAAUGGAGGAUGGGGACCCUGGAGCACCUGGUCUCACUGCUCACGUACCUGUGGAGCUGGCGUCCAAUCAGCAGACAGAGAAUGCAAUCAACCCAAGCCUGAGUUUGGAGGGAAGUACUGUACAGGCGAGCGGAAGCGCUACAGGAUUUGCAACACAAAGCCGUGUGUCCGACAGCAGCCGUCCUUCAGAGAAAUGCAGUGUAGUGAAUUUGACACAGUGCCUUAUCACAAUGAACUCUAUGAGUGGAUACCUGUCGCCAGCACCUCUCGUCCCUGUGAGCUGCAGUGUAAACCUGCGGAUGAAGAUUUCUCGGAGAAGAUGUUGGAUGCGGUCACGGACGGCACACCCUGCUUCAUGAACAACAGCAGCAGGAAUAUCUGUAUCAAUGGUGUGUGCAAGGAGGUGGGAUGUGAUUUUGGCAUCAAUUCGAAUGCUAAAGAGGACAGCUGUGGUGUAUGUCUUGGCGAUGGAUCCGCCUGUGAAACCGUGAAGCAGACCUUUGUGGGACAAGAUGGAUUUGGUUACAAGAACCUGGUCUUCAUACCAGAGGGAGCUCGGGACAUCUUCAUACGGGAGGUGGAAGAGGCUGGGAAUUUUCUGGCGAUCCGAGACGCUGAUUCGGAUGAGUAUUACCUCAACGGGAAUUACAUCAUUCAGUGGAAUGGAGAGUAUGAGGCAGGUGGUACAAAGUUUCAAUACGACCGCAGCGGCAACAUGGAGAAUCUGACCUCGGAAGGACCGACGACCAGACCCGUCAUGAUUCAGCUGUUGUUUCAAGAGCUCAACCCCGGUGUGAGGUACGAGUACACCAUCAAGAGAAGUCACCCGCUUGGAAAUGAAAUUCUUGAACCUGAAUACACCUGGAAGCGCGGAGCCUGGUCCGACUGCAGCGCCACCUGUGGGUUUGGUGUGCAGCAUCAACCCGUGCGCUGUUUCGAGGCAGAGGUGGGCGUGGUCGAGGAAACCCUCUGUGACCCCGGUACGCGUCCUGACGACAGACAUCGCAAAUGUAAAAACAUGGAUUGUCGUGCCAGGUGGUGGGUCGGCGGAUGGCAGGCGUGUUCGGCUACAUGCGGCCCGGGUGGAGUGAGAAAGCGCACAGUUCUGUGUGUGCGUCCGGUUGCUGGAGAGGAGCGCGUUCUGCACCCCGGAGACUGCAAACAGAUGCUCAAACCCAAACCCGUGCUACCUUGUAGCCGAGACGUGCCGUGCGGGUCAGAAUGGGUUGUGGGGAACUGGACAGAGUGCUCUCUGUCCUGCGAAGGAGGCGUCAAAACCAGAGCGGUCAAGUGUGUGGCCAAACGGCCGGGUCAGUGCGACCCCGCCAAUCGACCGCGCUCCACGAUCCUGUGUAACCUCCAGAGCUGCUCGUCCGAUAACAAAUGGACCGGCUCCCCCUUUCGACCUCGAUUCCGUCCAAGAGUCCCUCCCAAAAUCUCAACCACUCCACCAAACCCCCCCACCGUCACCGACUAUACAACACAAGCCAGCACUCCGCUAACAGCCACAACCCCGUCUGACUUUAUCCAUGAGGAGGAUCAAGGCUUUAUUUUGGUUAAGGAUGUUGAGGAAGACAUGGGUGGUCGUGAGAAAGGUCCGGCGGAAGAAGAGGAAGGUAGCACAGACCUGACUCCUGACAAAACAUACACGCCCGGUUAUGAUUACAUAGUGGGAGAGGAGGAACGAAAGGAUGAUUUCAUCCCUACAAGAACGGCAUCAUAUGUCCAAACAACCGCUGGAACGUCUCUCCACGCGAGUCACCCGACGACUGUUACAUCACCUAACGUCCACACAACAAAACAAGUGACCAGCACAUGUCAAACCACUGUACCCCCAGUGUUAAGUUCUUCCACUUUUAAGUGGGUAUCAAGCUCAAAACUACCCUCGACGGCGCCACACGUCACAGGUGAGAGACAACGAGAGCCCGUCCAUACAGUGACGAUACCGAGAGUAACCACGAACAACACGAGACAUGUCAACAGAGACCUCAAAGUGCCAAAAGCGGUCAAGCAGAGGCCAGAAACGGUCGGCAGCACCGGGGAUUAUGGGAACCUGAAUACACCAAAUCCCAUCAGGAGAAAUGCAUUCUGGGAAGUGGGCAACUGGAGUGAUUGCUCUGCUACGUGUGGUGUGGGUGCGAUGUGGCGGUCUGUAUUCUGCGGUUCAGAGCGAGAUGAAGAUUGUGCCAGCGUGAAGAAACCAGAACCAGCUCAACGUUGCAGCCUGCGGCCGUGUGCCAUCUGGAGGACUGGAAACUGGAGCAAGUGUCCUGAAGGAUGCGUCAGUGAUGUGAAGCAUCGUGACGUGCAGUGCAUGGAUACACAGAGCGGACGUCCUCUGAGGCCGUUUCAUUGUCAGGCGCUGUCGUAUAAACCGUCCACCAGCGCCCCCUGUAACACUCAGGCCUGUCUACAGUGGAAGACGUCAUCCUGGGGCGAGUGUUCUGAAAGCUGUGGUCAGGGAUGGAGGAAGAGGCUUGUGUAUUGUCCCGAGGAUCAUCGCUGUAACGUCACGAUCAAACCUGACAGCACAGAACCGUGUCAUCUGAAGCCCUGUACCCGCUGGCUGUCUGACACCUGGAGCACGAUGGUUCGUACUGGGGACGUUCAGCAUAAAAAAAAACUUCUGCCCGAUAUUCUUCUCGUGUCAUUGGUUGACAGUGUUCCAGAAGCUGUGGUGGAGGACUUCAGAAGCGUGUUGUGAAGUGUGUAAACAAGGAGACCAGAGAAGAAGAGAAAACAUCACUGUGUGCACAGAAUACACAACCAGACAGCGUUCAGACCUGCAAUACAGACCGCUGCAAAACUGAGCGUGAAGGGCCGGUUUGUAAGAAGAACAGCAUGUCAGCACGUUUCUGUGAGAAACUCAAGUUGCUGGGUCGAUGUUCCCUGCGUUCUAUCCUCAAGCAGUGUUGCGUCACGUGUAUGAUGUAAUGCGGAGGUCAUGGCAGGGUCGCGCUCGGCACGUCUACCCAAAGCUGAAACUACUGGACACGCAGCCACAGGGGUUCACAGUAUCCCACAAACACAGACCUUCCACUCCAAUAUAUAUCAUUUUUAUACUUGAACGUGAGAAUCCUGCGCCAGUGAAUAAAUACAUGAAAUCUGUCACAGGUCUAUUUUGAUUUCAGCUCAGAUGAACACAAAAUAACACGGAUUUCCCCUCAAAAUCAGCACAGAAAAUGACAAAUUAAAAGUCCUACUGUAUGUCCGCCAAUGUGUUCUCCUCUGCACUUUUUUGUAUGCAUUACACUUUAACCACUCCUCAAGACCCAGGUGGCUUGCUAUGGCCAGGGGCGGACUGACCGGUAGGACAUUCUGUCAAAGUUUAGAACAGGCGACCUGCCUACAGCCAUGACCAGGGGUAGACUGGCCAUCUGGAGUAUCAGAACUUUUCCUGUGGGACGCUUACAUAUGGGGCCGUAAUCGACGCUUUGGCCAGACAGAUGGACGUAUUAAUGCGAAUGCAUGCAACUCGAAGGACCCCCCCAUCUACAGAAAUGGUGGAGGGUUGAUGUGGGCCGAAUAAUCCAGGGCCGUUUUUGCUUCCAAGACCCCCCCUGGCUGUAGCCCAACGUUGCUUCGGACCAAAAAUAUGCCCCGGUGUCAUGACAAAUUCAGUCCACUUGGUAAUUGUGUUCCAUCUUAGGACCCAAUUUAGUGGGUAGUUGUAAUUCCUGAUCACAAAGUUAUUAUCUCAAUAUGUUGUUGUAUGGCUAACCAAAGCUGUGUUAGCUUCUAGCGAGUUUAAUACGCUGGGUAGAAUAAAAGCAUUAAAAUGACAUGUUAAAUGUAAGUUUAAAAAAACAUUUGAGCAUAUAAGCUUGAUGUAACAUACACGUCAGAAUUUCUGCGUCAACAUUUGCUUAACAAACAAAAACAUAACUUUUGAUAUUUGAAAACUACCAUAAUUAAAACAGUAAGAACGAGAUUUGUUUGUUUCACAUCCCAUAGCCUCAAUUAUGUACAAUUAUAUGAAGCAUUUAGUGAAAAAGACAACAAUGGUAAUUUUUGCAAAGUACGAGCGACAAAAAUCGUAAUGUAAUUUCAUAACAAUUACAAUUGGGCGCUAAAAAGCGUACCCAAUAGAAGUUAUUUUAGGCAACCGAAUCACGUGGGGUCCUAGAGGGGACUUGAUUUGUCAUGACACCCGCGAGGAAGGCUUAGACCCCGGAAGUGACUAAGAAAACACGAAUGGCCCUAGCAUGCACUAGCACGCCCGCUUCUGGUUGGAUAGUGGAACUGCGCCUGCGGCUUAAAUGCAGUUUUCACGUUCUGCGCCAUGUUGUUUAAAUAGCAAAUGCCUUCGCGCCCACGGCGUGCUGGUCUGAAAACGAGGUGUGUUCAGGCGGCUUGUUGGCGCGUUGCUAUUUUGUUGCAACUGAAAGGGACCGACUGAAACCCCAUUCAACUUCAACAACCCAAUAUUAUAUUUUUGUUAGUAAUACAGGCCAGUGGACAGUGAACGUACAUUCUGCUUAUAAGACACAUAGGGACGCGCAGCAGCACUCAAACAUGCCAAAUAUUAAAAUAAAAGGAUACCAAUGUAAAAGAUUAUUAUCGUACACAUAAAGAUGAAAAGGUGUAUUGCCUUUUUGGAGAAGCGUCCAGUCUUUGCUCUUGCAAAUUCCACCGUGAGAAUAGGGACAACCAAUUAAGAACAUUUAACAUCCUUAAACUAGCAAAGGUGGAUUCGGACACACUUUGUGCACUUGCGCCCUCCGCUUUAGACAAUGCGUUAAGAACGUUAAAAUUGGGUCCUAUGAGUAAAUCUACCUAAAUUUUGAUUUCAUUGAAGUUUGCUUGUAAGACCUUAAAAGAUUUGGAACAACUAACAUUUCAUUUUCAAACACAUAGUCUUAGAUUUUUGAGAAGUUUACUUCUUCCAUUUUUAAUUUGGAUAAAUCUUGGAUAAAUAAUUUUUUUACUGAUUUCAAACUGUUUUAAAAUGUAUAUUUCUGUAUCAUCACGUUCCUUCUGGGAAUACUAUCAAACAGGACUGCGUCAUUUUCUUUUCAUAGACAUCUGUCAGUUUGGUGUUUGCGUUUUUAAUCUUUAUUCAUUGAAGCACAUAAAAGAAAAGUUAAAGACUGUGAAGUGUUAUGCAUUAUUACAAUAACGGUGACUUUUUUCUCUUACUCUAGUAUUGCAUGUUUAUCGAUUCACUUUUACCAAUACCAUGAACGUUAUGUGUUAACGGUGCUCCAAAGAGUUUUACUCAACUCUUCUAGUAUAUUAUUAAUGCAAAACACAUGUUUUAUUUACUACUCAACCGAACACAAACACUUACUGUAUGAAAUCCUUUCUCAGGAUAUGUGUAUUAACGGAUGUCUGCACUGCAUUGGUGGUGUCUUGUUGUGUUUAUUGUAUUCGUAUGCUUUGUGUUUCAUCAUCUGGUGCUAACAAGAUCACUGUGGACGGAGGAGUUGCAGGUUCACUCCUCUUCAGCUUUUAUAAGAAUAGCUCUGAAUGUUUUAUACUGAACAUGCUUCAUGUCUAAUAAACACAGUCAUGAUGUAAGCCA